RNAcentral lists this unclassified non-coding RNA (217 nucleotides) under soil metagenome. RNAcentral describes it as "partial contains 5.8S ribosomal RNA, internal transcribed spacer 2, and large subunit ribosomal RNA". The record is from RNAcentral.
AACCUAGCACACCUGCGGUGUGUACCUGCGGAAGGAUCAUUACAAGUGACCCCGGUCUAACCACCGGGAUGUUCAUAACCCUUUGUUGUCCGACUCUGUUGCCUCCGGGGCGACCCUGCCUUCGGGCGGGGGCUCCGGGUGGGCACUUCAAACUCUUGCGUAACUUUGCAGUCUGAGUAAACUUAAUUAAUAAAUUAAAACUUUCAGCAACGGAUCU